Molecule: long non-coding RNA, 326 nt
Filed under: Trifolium pratense (red clover)
Lineage: Eukaryota; Viridiplantae; Streptophyta; Magnoliopsida; Fabales; Fabaceae
Description: long non-coding RNA (TPRA_LNC013343)
Source: RNAcentral
UGACUUAUCUCUUUCUCCUUCAUUCUUUCUUGUCCAUCGCCGCUGGCCCUUCUCUCACCACCCAAAAUAAGAUAAACUCAAGUCUCCUCCAUCUUCUUUCUCAUCAUCUUCUUCUUCUUCUUCUUUAACCUUAGAUUUUUACUUAUUUUUGUUAUGAAUCGAUGUUUUCUCAUUUUGUAUUAUGAAUCUAAGUUUUCUCAUUUUGUAUUAUGAAUCUAAGGCUUUUAUUUUCUGGUUUUGAUCUGUGUAAGACUUUUGUUUGUAAAAAAAUAAAAUUUUGGUUGAGGAUGUUACCCAUGGGUACCCAUCCGUGAACCCGUAAACCG